Molecule: ribosomal RNA, 403 nt
Filed under: bacterium
Lineage: Bacteria
Description: partial 16S ribosomal RNA
Rfam family: Bacterial small subunit ribosomal RNA
Source: RNAcentral
UGGGGAAUAUUGCACAAUGGGGGAAACCCUGAUGCAGCGACGCCGCGUGAACGAAGAAGGUAUUCGUAUCGUAAAGUUCUGUCCUAUGGGAAGAUAAUGACAGUACCAUAGAAGAAAGCUCCGGCUAAAUACGUGCAAGCAGCCGCGGUAAUACGUAUGGAGCGAGCGUUGUCCGGAAUUAUUGGGCGUAAAGGGUACGCAGGCGGUUUAAUAAGUCGAAUGUUAAAGAUCGGGGCUCAACCCCGCAAAGCAUUGGAAACUGAUAAACUUGAGUAGUGGAGAGGAAAGUGGAAUUCAUAGUGUAGUGGUGAAAUACGUAGAUAUUAGGAGGAAUACCAGUAGCGAAGGCGACUUUCUGGACACAAACUGACGCUGAGGUACGAAAGUGUGGGGAGCAAACAGG